Molecule: ribosomal RNA, 425 nt
Filed under: uncultured bacterium
Lineage: Bacteria
Description: partial 16S ribosomal RNA
Rfam family: Bacterial small subunit ribosomal RNA
Source: RNAcentral
GUGGGGAAUAUUGGACAAUGGGCGCAAGCCUGAUCCAGCCAUGCCGCGUGAGUGAUGAAGGCCUUAGGGUUGUAAAGCUCUUUCACCGAUGAAGAUAAUGACGGUAGUCGGAGAAGAAGCCCCGGCUAACUUCGUGCCAGCAGUCGCGGUAAUACGAAGGGGGCUAGCGUUGUUCGGAUUUACUGGGCGUAAAGCGCACGUAGGCGGUUUGUUAAGUCAGGGGUGAAAUCCCGGAGCUCAACUCCGGAACUGCCUUUGAUACUGGCAAGCUAGAGUCCGGAAGAGGUAAGUGGAACUCCUAGUGUAGAGGUGGAAUUCGUAGAUAUUAGGAAGAACACCAGUGGCGAAGGCGGCUUACUGGUCCGGAACUGACGCUGAGGUGCGAAAGCGUGGGGAGCAAACAGGAUUAGAAACCCCUGUAGUCC